AUGUUACAAAAGAAUUUUGAUGUGCAUCAAAUUUAGAACUCUCAGCCUGGCUAUGUUCUGGACCCUGCCAAUAGGGGGUUAUGCAUUGGCAAUUCUGGCCCCACCACAGGGUAUAAGUGUGGUAUUCUGGCCCACUCCGCAGGGUAUAAGUGCGGUAUUCUGGCCCACUCCGCAGGGUAUAAGUGCGGUUCUGUUUCUGGCCUAGCCACAGGGUAUAAGUGUGGUCGUAGCUAAAGGAUGAUGAGAUGAAUGUGAUUUGUUUCGAAUCAGAUUUAUAAUUAUGUAUAUGGAUAUUUGAAAGAUAUAGAUUUUAAUGAAUUUGUGCUUGAAAAGGAAUUGAUUAUGUUAUUAUGUUGAGUCAUCGUAAUUUGUAUUUAUAUUUUAUGUUAUUAUAUGAAUUGACUAGUUAAAGUGUUUAUUACUUACUGGGCUGUCUAGCUCAUUAUACAAUUUCUUGUUGUUUUACAGAUUCCGAGAACUAACCUAUCGGGAAUUUAAAAUGAGAGAGCGACUAGAAGAACUGAAGCACAAGUUAUCCUAGAUUAGGCUUUAUUUAAAUUAAUGUU
This 566-nucleotide long non-coding RNA is filed under the name Phoenix dactylifera (date palm). RNAcentral describes it as "long non-coding RNA (PDAC_LNC014863)". The record is from RNAcentral. Lineage: Eukaryota; Viridiplantae; Streptophyta; Magnoliopsida; Arecales; Arecaceae.